RNAcentral lists this ribosomal RNA (234 nucleotides) under uncultured bacterium. Its description in RNAcentral is "partial 16S ribosomal RNA". It matches the Rfam family "Bacterial small subunit ribosomal RNA", at positions 100 to 334 of the family's 1533-position model. The record is from RNAcentral.
CGGGACGGGUGAGUAAUGUCUAGGGAAACUGCCGAUGGAGGGGGGAUAACUACUGGAAACGGUAGCUAAUACCGCAUAACGUCGCAAGACCAAAGAGGGGGACCUUCGGGCCUCUUGCCAUCGGAUGUGCCCAGAUGGGAUUAGCUAGUAGGUGGGGUAACGGCUCACCUAGGCGACGAUCCCUAGCUGGUCUGAGAGGAUGACCAGCCACACUGGAACUGAGACACGGUCCAG